Molecule: unclassified non-coding RNA, 350 nt
Filed under: soil metagenome
Description: partial contains 5.8S ribosomal RNA, internal transcribed spacer 2, and large subunit ribosomal RNA
Rfam family: 5.8S ribosomal RNA (bases 1-120)
Source: RNAcentral
GAUGAAGAACGUAGCGAACUGCGAUAAGUAAUGUGAAUUGCAGAAUUCAGUGAAUCAUCGAGUCUUUGAACGCACAUUGCGCCCCCUGGCAUUCCGGGGGGCAUGCCUGUCCGAGCGUCAUUGCUGCCCUUCAAGCCCGGCUUGUGUGUUGGGUCGUCGUCCCCCCCGGGGGACGGGCCCGAAAGGCAGCGGCGGCACCGCGUCCGGUCCUCGAGCGCAUGGGGCUUUGUCACCCGCUCGAUUAGGGCCGGCCGGGCGCCAGCCGGCGUCUCCAACCUUCUAUUUUACCAGGUUGACCUCGGAUCAGGUAGGGAUACCCGCUGAACUUAAGCAUAUCAAUAAGCGGAGGA